GACGAACCGAGCAAACGUUAUUCGGAAUCACUGGGCUUAAAGGGCGCGUAGGCGGGCCAUCAAGUCUGUGGUGAAAUCCUCCAGCUUAACUGGAGAACGGCCGCGGAUACUGGUGGUCUCGAGGAAGGUAGGGGCAUCUGGAACUGGUGGUGGAGCGGUGAAAUGCGUUGAUAUCAUCAGGAACUCCGGUGGCGAAGGCGAGAUGCUGGACCUUUUCUGACGCUGAGGCGCGAAAGCCAGGGGAGCGAACGGG
RNAcentral lists this ribosomal RNA (253 nucleotides) under uncultured bacterium. RNAcentral describes it as "partial 16S ribosomal RNA". It matches the Rfam family "Bacterial small subunit ribosomal RNA", at positions 524 to 776 of the family's 1533-position model. The record is from RNAcentral.